Molecule: long non-coding RNA, 2728 nt
Organism: Labeo rohita (rohu)
Lineage: Eukaryota; Metazoa; Chordata; Actinopteri; Cypriniformes; Cyprinidae
Exons: 4
Source: RefSeq, a predicted model, not a curated record
UCCCUCAGGGUUAUAGAAAACAAAAAAAUUUUCUUAUGCAUUAUGAUGAGUUAUUCAAAGAUAUUUAACCUUGUCAAUGUGCUUUUGUAAGUGUAUAUAAACUAUAUAUACACUAUGUAGGAAAUCCAUAUUUAUGGAUUUAUGUUUGUUUGUUGUUUAAGAUACAACCAUCUUUCCCUGAUCUUAUAUAUAAUUAUAAUUUCUGUAAAAAAAAAAAAAAAAAGGCAUUAGGGACAGGUACACUAACACCAUAUAGCAUACUUACUACUUAAAAAUUAAGAUUACCCCAUAAUGAAUUACAUUACUAGCCCAAUCCAACCCUUACAAUAACAAUGAUAAAUGCUGAUCAAUACUUAUUUAUACUACUUUUUAUUUUUAUUUAUCGAAAAUGACUGAUCUUCUUGCUAGAUAAGACCCCUCUUCCUCGUCUGGGAUCGUUUAGAGCCCUUUAAAGCUGUUUUUAAACUGCAUUUUGGAAGUUCAAACUUGGACACCAUUGAAGUCCACUAUAUGGAGAGAAAUCCUACAAUGUUUUCCUCAAGAAACAUAAUUUCUUACCGACUGAAGAAAGAAAGACACAAACAUCUUGGAUGAUAAGAGGGUGAGUACCUGUAAAAAUAUUUGUUCUGGAAGUGAACUUCUCUUUUAAAGGUGAGAAUCGAGAUAUUUCAUGAUAUAUUUAAUGCGUUUGGGAAUGUUUCGAAUAAAAAGGAAAAAAAAUAAAUAAAACAUAAGUGUAUGGCUGCUGUCUCACAUGAUGACUACACGGUCUAUUAUAACCUACAUACUUAUAGCAGCCUAGAUAUUUAGCCUAUUUGCGCGCAUCAGUGAGUAGCUCUCAAAACGCGAGUUUUACUUUCGGUUUCGAAACGAUCGCGCGAAUUUUCGGCGUUGCUGCGUGUAUUCUACAAUACAAGAAUGCAGCCUAGUCAUGUCUGUGCGUUAAUCCGCCCCAGAAUUAGGAAUUUCAAUGAAGAGAAGAACUACAGAUCACUUAUGUACAAUAUGUACAGUAGGGUUGAUGAAGAAAGUAAUUAUAUGUUCAUUCUCCAGUUCAGCAUUGAUUUUAAUUAAGUCGAUAUAAUCAAAGAACGGGCAGGAUUACAUAUAUGAAAUAUAUAAAAUUUUAUUUAGACUUCAGAGAGUAAAUGUGAUAAUAGUAUUCAUGUGAAUUCCAGCACACAUAAGAAUUAAAGGGAACGAAGUUGCAGAUGUUUUAGCUAAGGAGGCAUGUAGACUAGAUGAUAUUAUAGAAUGAGCAUAUAGAAAAUCAGGCAAAAAUAAUAGUUUAGAAUAGUAUAAUAAAGGAAUGGCGGUAUAACUGGGAUAGGGAAGUAAUAGGCAGACAUUACUAUAGAAUCCAGGAGAAAGUAGGAAGCAGGAGGGUAUGUAAAGGAAAUAACAAAAGGUGUAAUUACACGAUUGUAUAAUUACACGAUGAGACACACAGGGUUAAAUAAAACAUUAUAUCUAAUAGGAGAACAUCCCACUGGCUGAUGUGAUCAUUGUCAGGAGGAGAAAUCAGUGGAACACACUGUCGCUGCCAAAAGUACAUCACAGAAAGAGAAAUAUUAAAACUUAGGGAACAAAGUUCUAUAGAAAUUAGCCUUAAAGACAUACUUAAUAGUCAUAAUGAAAGUUUAUUAAAUUAUCUGAGGAUAACUAGCUUUGUUAACGGGAUUUUUAUUGUUGUUGUUGUUGUUGUUGUUGUUGUUGUUAUCUGGGAGGUAUUUCACUCAGGCCCACACUCCUGUACAGUAGGUGGCGGUAAUGCACCUUAACGUUGGAUGUCGACCGCCAUUAAAACAACAAAGAAGAAGAAGAAGAAGAAGAAGAAGCAGUGGAAACGACGCUCGUCCUCUAGUGGUCAAGCGAUGUAUUAGUUUAAUUUCUGAUGGUAGCGAUUACUGAGCUAGAACUAGAGCAGGAGUACAUUACUUGAGCAGUGUCUGAUCUACCAUUAUCAUAGGAAACUUAAGAUGCUGAAGAUCACGACUGCAGCCAAAAUCAACAAAGAUUCAGCAGCAGCAGAGAUCAGUACUGUCAGAGAGACUGAAUCUGGAGGAUAUGAAGGACAGCAAAAGAGAUGUAAUAGUUCACUGAUGUCCAGAUGUCUGGUCUGGUUGCUGAUGGGAUUGUUGAUCACACAGCUGUAGGUGUUUUUAUCCUGAUAUUCCACCUCCAGAGGUAGAGAGAGACUGAUGCUGAGAUCAGACACACUGAUGCUGGACAAUAAACUGUUUCCUUUGUACCAGGAGAGACUCACAUCACUCACAUUCACCACUGAACACAACAAUGAACAAUUCUGCUGUGAUGAUGAAGAACAGUUUGAAGAGUUACUGAUGAUGACAGAAACAGGCAGAUGAGCUGCAAAACAUCAGAGAAUAAAAAGGAUGACGGUCAAUGUUAGCAAACAUGAUGAUGAUGAUGAUGAUGAUGAUGGUGAAGAACAUUGUGAAGAGUUACUGCUGAUGACAGGAACAGGCAGACAAACUGAAAACAUGACAGGAUAAGAGGAAUAUGAACACAGCUGUCAAUUUAUUUUCAGUGUUGUGAAUUAUAGUCAGUGUAAUACAUGUUGUGUUGAGUGAGUGUUUAAUGUGUUGACAGUCACUAAAUGUGUCUGUCAUCGCAAAAUAUAAUAAAUAUUUGCUGUGCAAACAGAAUAUGUGAACAUUUCAACAAAUGAUCUCUACUCACCAUAAACAUAAACACUAAAUGUUUUUGA